CUGGAGUGCAGUGGCACGAUCUCAGCUCACUGCAGCCCUGCCUCCUGGGUUCAAGCGAUUCUUCUGCCUGAGCCUCCUGAGUAGCUGGGAGUACAGGCGCACGCCAGCACACCCAGCUAAUUUUUGUAUUUUUAGUAGAGACGGGGUUUCACCAUAUAGGCGAGGCUGGUCUCAAACUCCUGACCUCGUGAUCCGUCCGCCUCGGCCUCCCAAAGUCCUGGGAUUACAGGCAUGAGCCACCACGCCCGGCCUCAUUCUUGUUCUUUUGGCUUUUUUCUACAAGUGACAAUCAGCCAGACCCUCUUUCAGCUACAGGAAGAGUUUGAUAAAGAGAAUGCCUGAGCUCAAUCUUGUGUGUUUUAAGGAAACAGAAAAAAAGGGAAAAGAAAAAGUCUUUUCCUGCCUUGUACCUCUGUCUAACUAAAAAGAGAGGCAGCUUCCUCACAGAAAAAUAUCACUGAUCUUAAAACUGAAUUCAAAGAACUGAAGAAGGAAGUUUCUAGUGUUUCACUUCUGUGGAUUUGGCCCAGAAAAAUCCACAGAGAAGGUGUUAAAGUCAGGUAAUUUAUCCUGCAUCCCUUAGAAAGCCCUAGAGCCAAUCAAAACUCUCCCCAAAGGGCUGAAAUCAGGCUCUGAGGGUUGUGGGAGUGACAGAGCCAUGUAAGCUCUCUGGAUUCACAGGUUUAGGUCACUGCUGAUGGAUUCAAUUACUAUGGGAGGACAUUUCAUGCUGUCUAAUUUUCAUUCAAUUGGAUGAUUCUCCCAAAUCCUUCGUUCUUUACCAUAAGUUUACUCAUUAUUUUAGCUUUACCUCAAGGCACUUUCCCCUGGGAAUUUUUCUGAGACCAGUGUGAGUUAGGUGUACUUCCUGUGUUUUGAUUUGUCAUACUAAAAAUCUUACAAGUAUGAAUUUCUACAUGAAAUAAAGGUAAGAUCUUAAUCUUAACAAUCUAGGUCUUAGAUUUCACGGUAUGGGCAUUAAACAAGUGUUUAUUUCUGUAUAGCCUUUUUGAUGAGUACCCAGCAAUCCCACUUCUACGAAUGUCUAUCAGUGAAAUUCCAGCUUAGCUCUGUAGUGGCUUCAUAGAAUCCAGUCAUUGCAGCAAUUUCAGGCAGCAGAGAGUUGGGGCAACCUGCAUGUCCAUCACCAGAAUGAGUAAGUACUGCAGUGAAUACAAGUUUGUGUGAAGUUUCAUGCUCUGCAGGAGUCACAACUAAUGAAGCAGAGGUACAUGUAUACCAAAAACAGGUGGAUUUUUCAGUGCAAAGUAAAAUCUAAGAAACAAAAUGUAUAUCAGGAUGUAUAGUACAAUACCAAAAUUAAAAUUACAGAGUUACACAAAAUACAGUGGGUGAGGCAGUAGCUGAAUGACUAAUGCCAGAGGGAAUGGUGGCAAAUUGUGUGAAGAGGGGAAGAAACUAAGUUAAAUUAUCUGAUUGGCACACUUGCCACCUCUUGGAAGACACCUGAUUACACUCAGUCCCCUGCCCUCUUGCUGGCCAGGAAGAUAAUUGGUCACAGGUGGCCCCCUGACCCCACCUCACUCCACAGUUUCUUAUGGCAAAGCGUUUCCUUGACAGAAAAUGCUAAAUGUCGCCAAAGCCCCUCCCUUGGGGUCCUGGUUUCUAAAAAGUCUUUUUUUCUGUAAUCAAGAGGUUAAUGUUUGGGUGUGUUGGAAGGAUACAGAAAAAGGCAUAGCACAGUAUGGACAAUGGUCUUGAAAUAAAAUUCCUCCUUAUUCUGCCUGAAAUUUCCUGACAUGAUGACAUGGUAUUUAUGAGGAUGUGGGUCACUGGGCGAAAGCCUUCCUUGGUCUUGAAUCAUGGAUUUUGGGUAUUGUUGGUUUUGGUGAAUGGAAUAUAUAAGGAAAGAAAAAAAGGGCCACAAAUAUGAAAAUGCUCUAAAAGAAACAAUAAUUUCACAAUACUGAACGUGAGCCAUUCAGGAAAUGUCCAUUUUAAAUUUUAAAGAUAGCUCCUGGGUGAACGGUGGUUUUUGUAAUGCAGUGGUUGUCACGUGUGCCACCCACGCGAAAUGGAAACUGGGCAGAAAUAUCUCCUUAUGGGUCUCUCUCUCUCCCUCUCUCGCUCUCUACUUCAGCUUGGGUAAUUUGUUUCACUAAACUCAACUCAAGCUCUCUUAAACCCAGGUCUGGUGCUUAAAACAAUAUGUCUUUAUUCCCUUACAGGUCUAGGGGUCAGAAAUCUGCAAUCAGUUUCGGUGGACCAAAAUGAAAAUGUCAAACAGGGUGUCUGACACCCUCCAGAAGCACCAGAGGAGAAGCAGCUUUCCUUGGCCUUCCCAGCCAAAUCUCCCUCUGCCUCUCUCCCCUGGUGACGACAAUGGCUGGGGUCUUGACUUGCCAAGGUAACUCGUUGGGGAGCAGAGAGUGGGAUCCGCAGUGUUCUGGUGGCUGUUGGGAUCUGGGCGCGAGGAAGGAGAGUGGCUCUCAUGAUUCUCUGCAUUCUCAGUGCAGCGUGGCCCGUACUGGUCACCUGGGUAUAGCUUUACUGAAUUUCGCAGAUCUGGAAACGGAGAAGGGACUGGAUCUCCAAACUUGGACUGCCUUGGACUGACCCUGGCCUGGAAGGUGUGGGCUCAGGACUCCGAGCUCAAGUCAGUCUGUUCCCCCAACCCCUAACCCACUGCAUCCGGGUGAGGAGUUGGGCCCGAGCGCCACAGCGCAGAUAGGGUUGUUAGGAGCGAAAGACUGGAGACCCAGGGACUGUGGGGCUGGGCUGGUGGGGCCACUGCUACCGACUAAGCAGUACGGGCCGCCUGGAAGACCGAAGGCGGAGUUCGCUGAUGCGGAAGCCAAGGCACAGGGCAAUAAGGAUCCGCGCCAUUUCUUGUGAUGUCACCUGAAGCCUUGGCGGGUAGCUGCCUCUCAUCCAUUCGGAGGACAGGGCUCCAGCCACCGGCAGCUCUGAAAGAGUUUGAAGAAUUUAUUGUUCACAGAUGGUAUUUAAAUGGACUUAUUUCUAAAAGUCACAUUCCUUUAUUACUUAUUUGUUAUUAGAAGUACCCAUUUUCAUAUGUGUUUAAAACUAUUUGUGUCUCAAAUUCUCAGGAGAUUGAUGCAUCCCAGUUUACUCUUUUUGGCAUAUGUUUUUACUCAUAAAUUAGGUUAAAUUUCAUACUUGUUUUAUAAAAUUUAGUUAUUU
RNAcentral lists this long non-coding RNA (3165 nucleotides) under Homo sapiens (human). RNAcentral describes it as "PREDICTED lncRNA (TCONS_00223667)". Lineage: Eukaryota; Metazoa; Chordata; Mammalia; Primates; Hominidae. The record is from RNAcentral.